Molecule: non-coding RNA, 514 nt
Organism: Leptonychotes weddellii (Weddell seal)
Lineage: Eukaryota; Metazoa; Chordata; Mammalia; Carnivora; Phocidae
Source: RefSeq, a predicted model, not a curated record
CCGACGCGAGUCUAUCUCCGACUUCCCCGGGAGCAGUCUCUUCGCGCCUUGAAGUCCCCAAGCUCUGCGAAGUCAAACUCUUAGUCCUCACUUUAUUGCCUUACUUCGCACGAAGUAACCCAUGUUUUAUUUUAAGCCUGUCACGUGUCUCUGUGAAUUCUAAAGACUUAAGAAGCUGUUGGUGUCUGAGAGGAACGCAGACCAGAGGACAACACACCUACCACACUUGACCACACACCUGACCAGAGGAAGAAAGGAACGUGAGAAGCCCUGUGGCAACUGAGUAGGGCCCUUGGCCUAUAGAGACAUCACAACUGUUCAUGCUGGAGCAGUGUCAACUCUGAAAUGGAAUAGUAGUAUCAGGUGAUGACUAACCUAUGGAAUCAUAAAUGUCUCCACUUCGGCAUGAUCACUAAUACUGGCAAUCCAAAACAUACUGGUUUUUUAUACUCAUUAAUGGUGUCCUGGUAACAUGCACACUUCAUAAUUAAAUUCAGUUAACAUCAAUAACAAA